AACGCACCUUGCACCCUUUGGUAUUCCGAAGGGUACACCCGUUUGAGUGUCAUUGUAAUCUCACUUCAACGACUUUAUUGUUGUUUGAAUGUGGACUUGGACGUCUGCCAUGUAACAAUGGCUCGUCUUAAAUGCCUGAGUGUACCCCGCUUUGCGGCGUAUUCGGUGUGAUAAACAUUUCACCGGAAUUUGGUCUUUAUUGACCGCGCUUUUAGCAAUUGGUGGGCUCUAUGCUUUCUAACCGUCUGCCUCUGUGGACAAUCUCUUGACAAUUUGACCUCAAAUCGGGUGGGACUACCCGCUGAACUUAA
RNAcentral lists this unclassified non-coding RNA (311 nucleotides) under uncultured Sebacinales. RNAcentral's name for it is "sequence contains ITS2". The record is from RNAcentral. Lineage: Eukaryota; Fungi; Basidiomycota; Agaricomycetes; Sebacinales.